Molecule: long non-coding RNA, 1607 nt
Organism: Zingiber officinale
Lineage: Eukaryota; Viridiplantae; Streptophyta; Magnoliopsida; Zingiberales; Zingiberaceae
Exons: 4
Source: RefSeq, a predicted model, not a curated record
UAGAACCCUUGGCCGCCGCCCCCUAAGUUUUUCCCCAUCAAUUUUCAAGCUUGGAAUUGAGAGAUCAAGGGGUGCUUGUCUGUUCCCUAGCCUCCUUUGCCGCCUCGUGACGUCGUGGUGGAGAGCAUGAGUCAGAGGCGGAGGGGCAGGAUUCUUGAGCGGAUUGUAUUGAAGCAAGGCACUCGACCCAGUGACCCCUACGUUUUCUGCAUGAUUUUCUUUUGGAGUGUUGAGGGAGGUUAAAAUAAAAAGACAUGUUUUCUUUUGCUUCUUUAUGGUUAUCGCAUUAGUUUGAGUUUGACUGGUUCUGCAUUGAGUUUAGAUACUUAUAAACUAAAUAAAUUAUUUUAUAGAUUGAUUUCAUUUUCUGUUAUGUAUUUUUGAAAAAAAACUAUUUAUUUAUUUUAAACUAGAGGGGUUUACAGUUGGUAUCAGCAUAGAGAUGGUGUAAGCGACUGUCAGAGAAUUAUAUUCAUCGCUUCAAGGAUUUCCACAAGGUAUUCUUGCAUCACUUUUCUAGUAAUCGGAGGUACCACAAAACUCCUUGGAGUCUGUUUUCCAUUAAGCAAGGCCCUAAAGAGUCAUCAGGGCUUAUAUUAAGAGAUUCAACCAGAUUGCUAUCGAUGUUCCAUCAGCCACCACGGAGAUCUUGAGGAGGCUCAAGCUGUCCGCAGAAAAGAUGUUAACACUUCUGCACCGGUUCCAGCAGUGGCUCAUUCGGGGGGACCUACUCAGCCCCCUAAAGGACCUCGAGCGGAUCCACACCAUCGUCAUCUCAAGCUUCGACCUCAAGCAGUACAGCAUGUAGAUGCUCUUGCACACUUCCUGCAACAAUGGUGCACUUAUCAUUUGACCAACACCCGCAACACAGAAAACUAUUUUACAUUGAAGAAUAGAUGAGUCAAAUUUGGAGAGGAAAUGAUGUUCAUGGUGAAUUUGAUCAACGAACAAAGGAAGUCAACGCCAUUCAUGUGUGCCACACGGCCAUGUGAAAGGAACAGGAAGGAAAAUGGUCUUGGUCGUUGGAGCAGACUGGGUGUGCAGCAUCAGCAGAAGAGGGGGAUGACACGGACGUGUGGUAUCACACGACCGUGUGACUUUUGAAGCAGAAUGAGAACAUGGUCGUGUAGAUCUACACGAUCGUGCAACCCUUCUAGAGGCCAAGCAUUGCCAGGUCAUGUGUGCCACAUGGUCGUGCAACCUUUCUAGAGACCAAGAUUGGUAGGACCGUGUGUGCCACACGACCGUGUGAGCCGUCCAGAUGUGAAGCAUGGCACGACCAUGUGAAUCUCACACGGCUAUGUGACUCUGGCCAAGAGGUAAGCAGUCGAGGUCGUGUGAGGUCCACACGGCCAUGACACGGGUCAUGUGGCGCCCAAACCCCCUGCUCUAUAUAAAGGGUUUCUCCCUCUUUGAAAGGGGGGCUCUCCCUUUGGGGAGAUCUAAUCUGAAGGUUUUCUCCAUCUUUUGGGUGUCAAUCCAGUGAUCUGAAGACGUUUCAAUUCUCGAUUUGACUCUAGUAGCAAGGAUUGGUUCCGAAGAUUACUCGUCAUCUCUAGAUAAGUAUUUCUUUUCUAUCUUCUUGAUUUGGAUCGAAAUGUUUACGA